Molecule: transfer RNA, 72 nt
Filed under: Heterocephalus glaber (naked mole-rat)
Lineage: Eukaryota; Metazoa; Chordata; Mammalia; Rodentia; Bathyergidae
Rfam family: tRNA
About the family: Transfer RNA (tRNA) molecules are approximately 80 nucleotides in length. Their secondary structure includes four short double-helical elements and three loops (D, anti-codon, and T loops). Further hydrogen bonds mediate the characteristic L-shaped molecular structure. tRNAs have two regions of fundamental functional importance: the anti-codon, which is responsible for specific mRNA codon recognition, and the 3' end, to which the tRNAs corresponding amino acid is attached (by aminoacyl-tRNA synthetases). tRNAs cope with the degeneracy of the genetic code in two manners: having more than one tRNA (with a specific anti-codon) for a particular amino acid; and 'wobble' base-pairing, i.e. permitting non-standard base-pairing at the 3rd anti-codon position.
Source: Rfam by way of RNAcentral
AGGGGUGUAGCUCAGUGGUAGAGCACAUGCCUAACAUGUGGGAGGCCCUGGGUUCCAUACCCAGCACCACCA